UACGUAGGGUGCAAGCGUUGUCCGGAAUUAUUGGGCGUAAAGAGCUCGUAGGCGGCCCGGUAAGUCCGCUCUGAAAGUCCAGGGCUCAACCCUGGAAAGCGGGUGGAUACUGCCGGGCUAGAAUCCGGAAGAGGCGAGUGGAAUUCCUGGUGUAGCGGUGGAAUGCGCAGAUAUCAGGAGGAACACCAAUAGCGAAGGCAGCUCGCUGGGACGGUAUUGACGCUAAGGCGCGAAAGCGUGGGGAGCAAACAGG
This 253-nucleotide ribosomal RNA is filed under the name uncultured bacterium. Its description in RNAcentral is "partial 16S ribosomal RNA". It matches the Rfam family "Bacterial small subunit ribosomal RNA", at positions 524 to 776 of the family's 1533-position model. The record is from RNAcentral.